UACGGAGGGUGCAAGCGUUGUUCGGAAUCAUUGGGCGUAAAGCGCGUGUAGGCGGCUUGGUAAGUCGGGUGUGAAAUCCCGGGGCUCAACCCCGGAAUUGCAUUCGAAACUGCCUCGCUGGAGUCCCGGAGAGGGUGGCGGAAUUCCCAGUGUAGAGGUGAAAUUCGUAGAUAUUGGGAAGAACACCGGCGGCGAAGGCGGCCACCUGGACGGCGACUGACGCUGAGACGCGAAAGCGUGGGGAGCAAACAGG
Molecule: ribosomal RNA, 253 nt
Filed under: uncultured bacterium
Lineage: Bacteria
Description: partial 16S ribosomal RNA
Rfam family: Bacterial small subunit ribosomal RNA
Source: RNAcentral